This 713-nucleotide ribosomal RNA is filed under the name uncultured Glomeromycotina. Its description in RNAcentral is "SSU rRNA". It matches the Rfam family "Eukaryotic small subunit ribosomal RNA", at positions 373 to 1081 of the family's 1831-position model. The record is from RNAcentral. Lineage: Eukaryota; Fungi; Glomeromycota.
GGGUUCGAUUCCGGAGAGGGAGCCUGAGAAACGGCUACCACAUCCAAGGAAGGCAGCAGGCGCGCAAAUUACCCAAUCCCGACACGGGGAGGUAGUGACAAUAAAUAACAAUACGGGGCUCUUUCGGGUCUCGUAAUUGGAAUGAGUACAAUUUAAAUCCCUUAACGAGGAACAAUUGGAGGGCAAGUCUGGUGCCAGCAGCCGCGGUAAUUCCAGCUCCAAUAGCGUAUAUUAAAGUUGUUGCAGUUAAAAAGCUCGUAGUUGAAUUUCGGGAUUGACACAUCGGUCGUGCCUUAAGGGGUAUGAACUGGUGUAGUCAAUUUCUCACCUUCUGGAGAACCGCGAUGCCCUUAAUUGGGUGUCGCGGGGAACCAGGACCUUUACUUCGAAAAAAUUAGAGUGUUUAAAGCAGGCAUUUUGCUUGAAUACAUUAGCAUGGAAUAAUAAAAUAGGACGGCAUGAUUCUAUUUUGUUGGUUUCUAGGAUCACCGUAAUGAUUAAUAGGGAUAGUUGGGGGCAUUAGUAUUCAAUUGUCAGAGGUGAAAUUCUUGGAUUUAUUGAAGACUAACUACUGCGAAAGCAUUUGCCAAGGAUGUUUUCAUUAAUCAAGAACGAAAGUUAGGGGAUCGAAGACGAUCAGAUACCGUCGUAGUCUUAACCAUAAACUAUGCCGACUAGGAAUCANACGAUGUUAAUUUUUUAAUGACUCGUUU